This 567-nucleotide ribosomal RNA is filed under the name Wickerhamiella natalensis. RNAcentral describes it as "LSU rRNA". It matches the Rfam family "Eukaryotic large subunit ribosomal RNA", at positions 54 to 650 of the family's 3401-position model. Lineage: Eukaryota; Fungi; Ascomycota; Dipodascomycetes; Dipodascales; Trichomonascaceae. The record is from RNAcentral.
AGGAAAAGAAACCAACAGGGAUUGCCUUAGUAGCGGCGAGUGAAGCGGCAAAAGCUCAAAUUUGGAAUCUGCCAGCAAUGGCCGAGUUGUAAUUUGUAGAUGGUAACUCUGUAAGGAGUCUUUGCUCAAGUUUCCUGGAAUGGAAUAUCAUGGAGGGUGACAAUCCCGUGAGGCAUUGACGUACUUGCGUGUAGAGUGCUAUCAAAGAGUCGAGUUGUUUGGGAAUGCAGCUCAAAGUGGGUGGUAGACACCAUCUAAAGCUAAAUAUUGGCGAGAGACCGAUAGCGAACAAGUACUGUGAAGGAAAGAUGAAAAGCACUUUGAAAAGAGAGUGAAAAAGUACGUGAAAUUGUUAAUAUGGAAGGGUAUAAGAUUAGACAUGAAGCUUUGAGUUCGGCAGUCUCUCGGGAUUGUUUUGUCUCUUAGUUUCGCACCAGCAUCAGUUUUGGCAGGAGGAUAAACAACAUGGAAUGUAGCUGCUUGCAGUGUUAUAGACUUGUUGCAUACUCUUUGCCGGGAUUGAGGUCAGCCUUUGUAGGAUGCUGGGGUAAUGAUCUUAUACCACCC